UCCCUUAAACACUUCUCGACCUCCAGCUGGACCCUGUCCUCAGCCAAUUUAACUUCUUCAAGCAGAGCUGAGCACCUCGUCUCCAAGGAUUCGACUUGUUGGCAGAGUUGCUGAUUCUGAAGUUUGGACUCCUCUGCCACCAAAGUCAAGCCCUUAACACUAUCAGCUUGUUUGCUUAGCUCCUGCUUCAGGACCACAACCCGAGCUACGGCUUCACUCUUUUGAGCCAGAACGGCAUCAAAUUUUACCUUCAGCUGCUCGUACUGGCGCUG
This 272-nucleotide long non-coding RNA is filed under the name Manihot esculenta (cassava). RNAcentral describes it as "long non-coding RNA (MESC_LNC009881)". Lineage: Eukaryota; Viridiplantae; Streptophyta; Magnoliopsida; Malpighiales; Euphorbiaceae. The record is from RNAcentral.